CAAUAGCGUAUAUUAAAGUUGUUGCAGUUAAAAAGCUCGUAGUUGGAUUUCUGGUAGGAGCGACCGUGCCGAACUUGAUUGUUCGAGUAUUGUGUUGUCUUCAGCCAUCCUCGUGGAGAACUUUUCUAACAUUAACUUGUUGGGAUUGGGACCCGCGUCGUUUACUGUGAAAAAAUUAGAGUGUUUAAAGCAGGCAUUAGCUUGAAUACAUUAGCAUGGAAUAAUAAGAUAGGACUUUGGUACUAUUUUGUUGGUUUGCAUACCAAAUUAAUGAUCAACAGGAACAGUUUGAGGAUAUCCGUAUGAACAUGUCAGAGGUGAAAUUCUUGGAUUUUGAUCAGACGAACUACUGCGAAAGCAUUUAUCAAGGAUGUUUUCAUUAA
Molecule: ribosomal RNA, 383 nt
Filed under: uncultured eukaryote
Lineage: Eukaryota
Description: partial 18S ribosomal RNA
Rfam family: Eukaryotic small subunit ribosomal RNA
Source: RNAcentral